Long non-coding RNA from Equus asinus (donkey), 2062 nucleotides. Lineage: Eukaryota; Metazoa; Chordata; Mammalia; Perissodactyla; Equidae. The record is from Ensembl.
CUUCACACCCCAUGGAUUUUUUCCCCCUUGAGACUAGAAAAGGACCUGCAAAACCAUUAACUUCCUUAGAGCUAGCAGCUGGAAAGGCGGGAAGCAACACUCUGAAAGCAAAAGAAUGGCCUCAUUUAUUUAUUUUUGAAAUGACACAUGUAAAACGUGACGACAUGGUCAAAACCAAAAUAUUUUUGAAAAGAGUAAGCAGUUAAAAAUCCCUGUUCCAGAGCCCCAAACUUAAUUCUCUCCCCAGGGAUAACCACUGUUAAAUUGGUGCAGGUCAACCUCGUCCCAAUCCCAAUCCCCCCCUCCUACCCCCACCCCCCAACCCCGCCCUCCACCUGAGGUCUCUGUGUUCUUCACCGGGAGCCUGUCCCACAGACAGGCCUUCGUGUUUGUCCUUCCCUCCACCUGGAAAGGCCCCCUUGCCCUUUCUUUUCUUUUUUGGGAAGGGAUGUUUUAUGUUUAUUAAGAUAUAAUGUUCACAUAGUAAUGUGCACAAACCUUAAAGUGUGCAGCUCAAUGAAUUUCUACAUAAUUUUUUGCAUAUAUAUUCAGCCAGAUCAAGAUGCAGAAUAUUUCCAGCAUGCCGGAAGGCUCCCUCAUGCCUCCCCAGUCGGUACCCUCCCCACAGACACACUCAUCCUUGUCUUGGGAGACAACUCAAAGUCACACCCAGGAUCUCCACGUCAAGCACAUUCUUCCCCCUCGGCUGCUCGUGGGAAACACAGGAAUCACUCUGGGACUACAACCAUCUUUCCUUUUCUACCAGGGAGAUCCCUGUGUCGGUGGUUUUAACACUUCUGGGCUCAUAGAUCUUUUCAAGAUGCUGGACAAAAUCUAUGGAUUUUACCUAGAAAAAUGCACAUGGCCACAAGGUGUCGCCUGUCGUUUCCAAAGGGUGCGGACUCUGAAACCCAUCCAAAGCCCUCAGGUUGACAGCCCCUGCCCUUUGGCCUGCACACCUCAUGCAGGUGGAGCUGAGAACCAGGAGCUUCCAGUACCAGGGAGGAGGAAAGGAGAGAGAGCCAAGAGACAAGGAAAGGAAGAGAAAGAAGAGGAACAGAGAGCACCCCAAAGGGUCCCAAGGCAGCUGUUCCCUCAAGACUGUCCAGCCUGCAGCUGCCAAGCUCAGAGGCCAGCCCAGCUACAGGAUCAGCUCAGCGUGGUCACUCUCGACCCCACUCCUCCCCUCCUCACUCCUUCUGUUCUCCAUUUCCUGUCCUGGGUGUUCCUUGUCGCCACCAGCAGUGGAAGAAGAUGAGACUGUGUCUGUGAGCAGAAGAGCAUCACUGGACUCAGCUGAGAAAACUGGGAGGAAGCUUCGAAUGGAUAUCUGCAUACUUGUGUUCACAGCAGCAUCAUUCACAGUAGUCAAAAGGCAGAAGCAACCCAAAUGCCCAUGGACAGAUGAGGGGGUAAACAAAAUGUGAUGUACACAGACAAUGGGAUAUUAUCCAGCCUCAAAAAGGAAGGAAAUUCUGACACACACUACAACAUGGAUGAACCUUGAAGACAUUAUACUAAUCGAAAUAAGCCAGACACAAGAGAACGAGUACAAUAUGAUUCCAUUAAUGUGAAGUAUCUGGAAUAGUCCAAUUCACAGAGACAAAAGGAGAAUGGUGGUUACCAGAGGCUGGAAGGGGUUGGGGAAGGGAGAAUUAGUGUUUAACGGGCGCUGAGUUUCAGUCUGGGGAGCUGAAAAAGCUCUGGUGAUGGAUGCCGGUGAUGAUGGCACAACUACCUGAAUGUACCUAGUGCCAAUGAACUGUACACUUAAAAAUCGUUAAAAUGAUAAAUUUUAUGUUAUGUAUAUUUUAUCACAAUAAAAAAUUUAAGGGCUGGCCCCGUGGCCGAGUGGUUAAGUUCGCGCGCUCCGCUGCAGGCAGCCCAGCGUUUCGUUGGUUCGAAUCCUGGGUGCGGACAUGGCACUGCUCAUCAGACCACGCUGAGGCAGCGUCCCACAUGCCACAACUAGAAGAACCCACAACGAAGAAUAUACAACUAUGUACCGGGGGGCUUUGGGGAGAAAAAGGAAAUAAUAAAAUCUUUAAAAAAAAAAAAAAUU